This 456-nucleotide ribosomal RNA is filed under the name uncultured soil bacterium. RNAcentral's name for it is "bacterial SSU rRNA". It matches the Rfam family "Bacterial small subunit ribosomal RNA", at positions 27 to 523 of the family's 1533-position model. The record is from RNAcentral.
GGAACGAACGCUGGCGGCAUGCCUAAUACAUGCAAGUCGAACGAACUCUUCGGAGUUAGUGGCGCACGGGUGCGUAACGCGUGGGAAUCUGCCCCUUGGUUCGGAAUAACAGUUGGAAACGACUGCUAAUACCGGAUGAUGACGAAAGUCCAAAGAUUUAUCGCCAAGGGAUGAGCCCGCGUAGGAUUAGCUAGUUGGUGAGGUAAAGGCUCACCAAGGCAACGAUCCUUAGCUGGUCUGAGAGGAUGAUCAGCCACACUGGGACUGAGACACGGCCCAGACUCCGUACGGGAGGCAGCAGUAGGGAAUAUUGGACAAUGGGCGAAAGCCUGACCCAGCAAUGCCGCGUGAGUGAUGAAGGUCUUAGGUUGUAAGCUUCUUUACCGAGAUGAUAAGUAGACAGUAGUACGGAGAAGUAACGCCCCGGUCUAACCGUCCGUGCCAGCGACGCCGUAC